Molecule: ribosomal RNA, 253 nt
Filed under: uncultured bacterium
Lineage: Bacteria
Description: partial 16S ribosomal RNA
Rfam family: Bacterial small subunit ribosomal RNA
Source: RNAcentral
UACGUAGGGUGCAAGCGUUACUCGGAAUUACUGGGCGUAAAGCGUGCGCAGGCGGUUGUGUAAGUCAGAUGUGAAAUCCCCGGGCUCAACCUGGGAAUUGCAUUUGAGACUGCACGGCUAGAGUGUGUCAGAGGGGGGUAGAAUUCCACGUGUAGCAGUGAAAUGCGUAGAGAUGUGGAGGAAUACCGAUGGCGAAGGCAGCCCCCUGGGAUAACACUGACGCUCAUGCACGAAAGCGUGGGGAGCAAACAGG